GUCUGAUUUGCAAGAAUUUUCGUGGUGGCGGAGGAAAAGUGGAGUCUGGGGGGUAAAGGAGAGCAGCGUGAGGGUGGCGCGGGUCACGCACCAUGGCGUUUAGCACUUUCAUUGCUGCGUGCGGUUUACAAGAUUUAAAAAAUCAUAGAAUCCAGCACGAACUCCACCCUUCAUAAUCGAGUUCACCGCCCCUGGAUGUAGCACCUCUUAUCUGGGAACCACACCAUUAUCUGAAGCAAUAAAAUGAGUUAAAUCCUGAUCUUUCUUUCCAAAAAGCACAGGAAGCCGACUUGUUUACUUGUGGUUUUCAAAGUAGAAGAAAAGCCGCAGCAGCUUGAUGAAGACGUCUAUAGUAUAGUUAACCUUUAACGAUUAUCUGUUGGGGAUUGAAACUAAAGAUUGAACAAUUGUGGCUUGAUGAUCUUCUCUGUCUUCAGAAUUGAGAACUACCCUGAGUCAGUGCGAACGAGAAAACUUUUCAUUGCCCUUUUAACCAAACUUGGCAUUACAACGAAAAAAUGAAAUAAAGCGAGGCUUUUUGUGUGCGUGAAGAGCAAAACUUGCUUCUACAAGAAAAAGUAAAUUUAGUUUCUUUAGAAGACACUAAUUAUACUCUUAACAUUUAAAACAAGCGCUUGAAAUGAAAACAUUCGCAUUUCCCCCUCAUUUCAAAACUUUUCUCUGGGGAAUAAUUAAUUCCUUUGCAGUAAGAGAGUGCAUGGACAUACUGUGUUCCUCUCUUGGUGUACUGAAUACAAAAACUGUGAGCAAGUAAAUAAUGCCCGAGGACAAUGGAUUGGAAGGAGUCUUCCAGCCUUUCUUAAAUAUACCUACCCAGUAAUCACUCUGCCACUGUGCAAGGGACAAAGAGCUCAAGGUCUAGAAGAUUGCCAUUCACCACCGUCUCAUGGUCAGAGGAGGUAUGUUACUGAGCACUAUU
RNAcentral lists this long non-coding RNA (940 nucleotides) under Homo sapiens (human). RNAcentral's name for it is "non-protein coding MAP3K20-AS1:16". The record is from RNAcentral. Lineage: Eukaryota; Metazoa; Chordata; Mammalia; Primates; Hominidae.